GGGAGCAUCUUAAUAGUGGUAAAUACAUCUUUAACAUUUUUGAUAUUAAGGUGCCUCGUGUUGUCUUUGGCAUAAUAGAUCCUUACAUGUUGUGGGAAAAAAAGGAAGGAACAAAAGAAGGGAUAAAAGAAGGAAUGAAGAGAGAGAGUCAAAAAAGAAUAAAGUGGGAAAGAAGGUGAGAGCAAUAUAAUUAUACAUAUCAAUGCAAUAUGCAUUGAAUAUAGAAAGUAUGCCAAUCAUGCUGCUAAAUACUACUGCUCAUAUAAAAAUGCAUUAGUUCCCCAGGAGCUUAAAAAUCGGAAGACGAGACAUGUAUAUAAAUACCUCUAAAACACAACUAAUGUAGAGCCAUAGAGUAUACAAUACCAGGUAUCUACCAUAUGCACACUUCCUCUAAGAGACCACCCUGAGGCAGACAUAUUUUGGUCAUCGUGAUUCCAAACAUCUAGCCCCAGAUAACUGCAUUAGAAGAGGCGUUUGACCCAAAGGAAUUUCUUCUAAGAUGUAGCCUUUUGUGCAAAGAUGAGCUGAGCCAGUCAGUCUCUCUGGAGGGUGAAGUAGCUAGCAUGGGGAGCUGAGGCUGACAGGAUAUUACAGCCAGAGCCUGUGCAGGUCUCCUGGAUCGGAAGGAAACUGAAGUUAUGAAAAGCAGAAAUUAAGAGGAAGUACAGGUUCCACAUAUACCAAAAAAAUCCCCCAAAACUGAGCAGAUAAACAAUGAGGAAACAUUUCCAUAGACAGUAGAAAGAAAAAGACAUGUCACUGUGUGCACUUUUUUUGAGAGAGAUUUAUAGAGACAGAGCAAACAUGUGGCUCAGGAUAAUGAAGGAACUUGUAGAUGGCCUCUGGAGUGGCCUCAUCUUGUGACAGUUCCAGUUCUGGCACAGAGGUAUCCUUAUUAUCAACUCCUUUUCCUAAUAAGGUAUCAUCUACAAGGUUUUCCAUCCUUCAACUGAAGAUACAGGUGAAAACAAGAGUCCUAAAGAGGAAAGAGAGUAGAGUCCAGCAGUUCUAGCCCUUCCUCAACAAAGAUGACAGCAACAAUCCUUGCCAAGGGUCCUCACCUCUGGCCAACCCUCAGGGUUACUUGUCCUGGUGCAACUUUAAAAUACACUGAGGUCUGGAAAUUCUGAUGAGUUUAAAAAUCAGCAGAUCUAAGGUGGGGUCCAAACACCCACUUUUUUUUUUUUUUAAACAGAAUCACAGGAAUUCUCAGCAUAGCCAGAGGUGAAGAAUGCAGUAGCUAUGUCUUUGCAUAUGAAGCAACCAUGAACAUUAUUAGCCUUUGCAAAAGCUCUGUUUUUUGCUCUAUUUUGUGAGUUUGGAAAGCUUCAGACUCUCACUCUUUCUUCCAAGUUAAAUAUAUCAUGAUGUCAGUUGUUUUGGUGUUUAUCCUGUGAUUGGUGUCUACACAGCCCAACUUAGGAGCCACCAUUAUUUUUAAUCACCUGCUUUUCUCAAUAUUCCAUUCUCUUUCUUUCUUUCUCUCUUUCUCUUUCUUUCUUUUUGUCUUUUUUCUUAUUUUAUUAACUGAAUGUCUGCUAUAUUAAAGGAAUUGAGCUUGUAGCCUAGCUAUUGGGAUGAAGACACACACAUAUAUAUAUAUACAUAAUUACAAGCUAAAGUUGUAGGUGAUAUACUAUAAGCAUAAUGGCAACUUCAAGUUAAUUAUCCGGAAGUUACAAAAUAAUGUUUGGUAAGAUGCCUGAUUUCAAGAUUGCUUCAUCUGUUCACAUGGUUCUUGAUGUGUAAUUUUCCCUUUAAAUCCUCUCCCCUUUCCUGAACUGCUACUUUCUGACCUCAACACCAGUAUGGUGAUGUAUGUACAAUUUUUGCCACUCCCAAAUACUUUCCAAAUGAUUCUGUCAUCAAAAUAUUUACCUCUAGUUAGUGUAAGUUGAAUAACGAAGGACAGUAAUAUGCAUUAGCAUGUGUACCCAGCCCAAAAGACAGGCAUAUGUAAAAAUAACACACUAAGGUGGAAAGGUAACCCCAGAAACCAGUAAUACAGUCAUACUGAGCCCCGAUUUAAUUUGGUAAAUAUCAUCUGGCUACUGGGAAAUCAUGAGACAUAUUGUAGCAACAGAGUAGCAUGUCUCCUACAAAAACCUUUUUAUUUAUUUAAUCCAGUUCAUUAAUAAAGAUCUUCUUUUCAUUUUCCCGACGUACAAAUACUCCAAAACCACGAGCUCACAUUUUGACAGCUAAUUUUGCAGGAUAUAAUAUUCCUGCUUAACCCAAGAGGAAAAAGAGAUGGAUGAUUGAGAUUAAUCAUUUGUAAAAUUAUAAUUCUGUCACAGAUAAUAAUUUGCAAGAUCUUUCCCUUUUCUGAAAUCCCCAGAAUGCACUGUAAAUUGUCACACUUUGUAACAGAAUGUGUAACACAUUAGGGGACUCCUAAUAAAGCAAGUCUGCUAGAAAAACAAACCAAUUGCCUUAUAAUUGGCAUGUUCUCCCACGUGAUUAUUCUCCUGUGAAGGAACAUUGUGCCUUGGGUAAAGAAGGGUUUAAAAAUUAUUAUUCAAGAGGUGGUUAUCUCCAUCUCUUAUUACCAUUUGAGCUGUAAUAUAUGGUACUUCUUUGCCUUGUGUAAUUCUGUUAGAAUGUACAACUGUGUGCCCAGAAGGUGAAUUGAUCCCUGUGGACAAAUGAGCAAAUUCAGAAAAUUUUAAUUAUUUUCCAAUUUAAGAAAGACCAUCAAAAUGGACAUCUAAAAAUUGACUUUUUGAGAAUGGCUACAUGAGUCCAUGAUGGACAGGGCUUGCUGUUUUACAAGCAGAACUCUCUGUGAACUUUACGUUAUUUUUAAAGUCAAUUUGAUAGGCACUUAAUACUGUUUCAACAACAAAAGCAAAGAAACCGUAGGAUUUUAUCUAAGGUUGGCAGAUAAUUUUAAGGUUAUACAGGAUUUGAUGAAAGAAGGUCUAUGAGCCUCUAUAGUUUCUUGGUCCAUGUUAGCUAAAUUGAUUAGGGCAGAAGCUAAUAAGAUCAAGGUUAUGAGUUCAAUUCCCGUGUGAGUCAGCUAGCUUUGCUGCGUCCACAUCUGCAGACUAUAUUCAAAUCCAACAGUCUCAGGAAUAUAUCCCAAAGGGGUGCAGUGAAGAGAGAGUUUAAAUGAGUCAAAAUGCUGCCUAAUUCUUGUAAGAAAUAUUACUCAAAGGUCUGCUCUCCCAAGAGCUGAACAUUCUAACCAACUCCACUGCCACCACUUUAGUUUGAGCCAUCGUUAUCCCCUGCCAAGAUUAUUGCAUUAGCUUCCAGCUCUUCCCCCUGCUACAUCCCUUGCCGCCUUCAGAUUAUUUUCAACAAAGCAGCAGAGUGAGCCUGUUAAGAUGAGGUCAGAACAUACCACUCUUCUGCCCAAAACUCUCUGAUGGCUUCCCAACCAACUCCAAGUAAGAGCCAAAGUCCAUACUCUAGGCCAUUUGCAUUCCUCUUCAUCUAGUCCCUCCAGUCUUUCCUGAACCCAAUGGCAAUCUCUCCUCCCACUCCCUCGGUGACAUCUGGCAUAAGCUCCAUAGUAAGCUUCAGCUUUCACAACAUCUUAGGAAAAGGCUGUUUAUCAGCAGAAUUUGCUACAUAACAUAGUACCUGAGAAAAGGAGGGCAAAAUAUCUGGCUUCCUUCUUGAAAUCAGGAGUGGGAGAAAAAUGAGGACAAAAACAUAAAUAGAUCCCAUUGUUUCUUUAUGAGCCAUAAAAGCUCAUAAAUAUAAUCAAAAUAAUUUAAUAUUUCAUAAAUACAAAUUAUCCCACUAUGCAUAAAUAGAAAUCCCUGAUUGCCUCAAAAGAACUUUCCUAAAUCUUUUGUAAGCACACAGCCCAAGGCAGUAGAGUGUGACACAAUUUAAAGCAGGAGGUGAUUUAGGAAGGUUUGCUCUGAGUCUCCAUAAAGUAGGGUAAAAAUACACAGGACCAGAAAUAAGGUGCUUAGAAAUUUUGGAAGAAAAUGUUACAAAACUUCUUUGAGUACGCAUUAGCAAACUUAAUGAGGGCAAUCACAUAAGAGAAUUUUUUUUAGCAGUUAACUCUCUAAGUGAAAAUACAAUUGAGAGGUGAAGCCAGCUGGGCUUCUCGGUUGGGUAGUGACUUGGAGAACUUUUCUGUCUAGCUAAAAGAUUGUAAACACACCAAUCAGCACUCUGUCUAGCUAAAGGUUUGUAAAUGCACCAAUCAGCUCUCUGUAAAAACGCACCAAUCAGCACUCUGUGUCUAGCUAAAGGUUUGUAAACGCACCAAUCAGCACUCUGUAAAAAUGUACCACUCAGCACUCUACAUCUAGCUAAAGGUUUGUAAAUGUACCAAUCUGCACUCUAUAAAAACAGACCAAUCAGCACUCUGUAAAAUGGACCAAUCAGCGGGAUGUAGGCGGGGCCAAAUAAGGAAAUAAAAGCAGGCCACCCGAGCCAGCAGCGGCAACCUGCUUGGGUUUCUUCCCACAUUAUGGAAUCUUUGUUCUUUUGCUCUUCACAAUAAAUCUUGCUGCUGCUCACUCUCUGGGUCUGUGCCACCUUUAAGAGCUGUAACACUCACUGCAAAGGUCUGCAGUUUCACUCCUGAAAUCAGCCAGACCACGAAUCCACCAGGAGGAACAAACAACCCCAGAUGCACCACCUUUAAGAGCUGUAAUACUCACUGCGAAUGUCUGCAGCUUUACUUCUGAAGUCAGUGAGACCAAGAACCCACCAGAAGGAAGAAAUGCCAGACACGUCUGAACACCUGAAGGAACAAACUCCGGACACACCAUCUUUAAGAGCUGUAACACUCACUGCAAGGGUCCAUGGAUUCAUUCUUGAAGUCAGCGAGACCAAGAACCCAACAGAAGGAACCAAUUCUGGACACACAAUGAUUUACGUUUACAAACUCAUAUAAUCUCACUUGUGCAUGUGGUCUGUACAUAAGGCAUUCAUGCAUUCACAAAAUAUUGAAUGAGCGCCUACUAUCAGUUAGGCAUGGUUUUAGGUGCUGGUUUGUAGAUUAAUGAACAAAAUACAGAAGAAUCCUGCCUUUAUGGGGAUUAUAUUCUAGUGGAAGGGAACUACUAAAGACACAACUACUUCACAAGAAACAGGAGACCACCAUUACCACGAAUAACAUCUAGCCCUGCUAGGAGUUAACUGAAAUACUGAGCUAUGAAAUUCAUCCUGGAUUCAAGAGACAUGAGCCUGAAGAGAAUCAGAUGGUGGGUCUAAUGGAAAAAUUAACAACCUCUGCUAUUCUUAUCCAUAUCUUCUUCAUUUGGACUUUAUGCAAGCCUGUGCUUCUAAACUAACAAAAGAGGCUAUGCCUACACACAAUCAAAACAACCAGCAGAAAACUGGAAAAUCCAAUCAGCCAGGUGUUUUGCCUACAUAAUCUCUUAUGGCCAGUUUGACUAAUUGUUUUCACUAUGUUGACUCUUUUCAUUUUAAUAACUGCUUUUUUCCCUAUAAGAUAAUGUAUAUUCACUGUGGAAAAUAUACACAAUUUAUUACAAAUGUAUUUUUUAAUCCAGAAUUCCUAUACUGUUAACAUUUUUGUAUAUCUCUUUUAAGUAUUUUUAAUAAAUGCCAUAUCUUUCUGUAUGUGUAUAUGUAUGUGUGUGUGUUUGUAGUUUUACAUAUAUUCUCUCUAUACUAUUUUAUAACCUGUUUCUCUUGGCUAAAAAUAAAUUAUAAUUAUUUUCCUAGGU
This 5669-nucleotide long non-coding RNA is filed under the name Homo sapiens (human). RNAcentral describes it as "HSALNT0041362". The record is from RNAcentral. Lineage: Eukaryota; Metazoa; Chordata; Mammalia; Primates; Hominidae.